UAUCUUGUAUCGGAAAAUUUGUGAAGAGAUCCGGGUACAUCUAUAUUAAGAAUUUUCCAACGUUGGGCACUGCUGCUAAAACAAGUUGAAACACUUUUGAACAAAAACAAGAAAUGUGAUGCGGCAGUUCAACAUUCCGCUGAAUCGACUCCAAAUAAGUUAAGGCUGUGAACUGCACAUAGUGAUAAUAAUUAGGGGCCCAGAUCGGCAAGCUUCUGACUUAUAGAUUGGUAGAUACCAUGGAAACAGGGGUCCGAUCGUAAAAGAAUGAAUGAUUUUAAAUUUACGGGCCCUCAAAAAUAAGUGGGAAUAGGUAUGUAUGUACGCUCUCCUCACUUCUUUCAACUUUACGAGCCCCCCUUUUUCCCUCCCUCACGAUGGGGCUGAAUACUAGUGCAUCUGUAAACAGCUACAUUAACUUUCGCGUUCCAUCCAUCAUAGAUGAAUUUUAACCUCAUUUUUUCUUGAUAGUCGACAAUAGGUAGUUUCAGAUCACACAAGGAACUGAUAGGUAUGGCAAGUUCAUUCUUUGUGGUUGGUUGUCAAAAAAGUUGUAUUCCAGGUUACACAAAUUUUUUGGAAACUUGUAUGGGAAAUUUUUCAAAAUCAACCCUACUUGCUUUAAAAUAUCAUGAUCAUGUUUUCAUGUUUUAUUCAACUGGAAGUAGAACUCCUCCAAUAAUAAGUGAUUUAUUUGUUUUGCGCACAAUACCAUUUAAAAUUUAGUGGUUACCUCACCAAAUUGAAAAAAAGUUAAAAACAUAACUCAUGACAGAUUUGGUAAGUUAAGUGAAAAGUUUUCUUUUAGACAAUGUUGAAGUUAUUAAUACUUUUUCCAUCAUAAACUGAAGUUUAGGGUUAGUAAAUUAAGAUGCCAAGUUUGAAAUUAUAUUGAGUUUACUAAAUACGUUUUCUGAACCUGUUCCAUCUCAGGUUGUUUAAAAAAAUUACUUUCACAGUUCUCUUAGUGUUCUUGACGUAAGGCAUUUAAUAAUUAGCGAAAAUAUUUUUCUUAACUUAGUAUUGAAUAGAAUCGUUCAAAAACGCUUUAAAUCGUCUUUAAAAAAAGCCAAUCAUUUAAAACUCAUCUUAUAAGUCCUUGGACUUGCUACGUCAGCUGAAAAACAAACAAGUGUUAUAAUACGCAAAAAUUAGUUUCCGUCGAAACAUAAAACUUCAUCUUAAGUGACAUGCGAGAGCAAUGUUGGACACUUCUCUAUGAUCACAUCCAUAGGGGUGCGAAGUUUUUUGGCGUUGGAUGAAAGAUCUUAAGUCAUUUUAGGUUUUUGAACUGGUUUUACGGCUUUUUUUUACUUUUUCGUUAAAUUGUAACAGCUUGAGCUUAGAACAACUGCUUAAUAUGGUAUUAACUAGCUGACCCGUCCACGAGUUGCUGUGGCUAACGUUUUCUGUCAUACACAUUGUUGCAAACGAUUUAAGGGGAACGGUAGGAAAACAUCAGACAUGGGCACUACCAUACUUUUUAACAUAGUUUCAAUUUGUGCACAAACACAAUGACUGAUUUAUUAUAAUUAUGAAUUGUAAAUACUUUUAAUUUCAAUUUAAUUUAGCGCUUAUCGAUGAACAACUUAUCUUUCUCUAACACAAAUAAAUUCGGUGGUUUUCCUAAACGUGAACAUGCAGCAUAUGGCUAGCCAUUAGAAAAACAUGGAUUUUCCAAGUUUAAACAACAAAUGGACAUUGUUUGGCCUCGAGACUUAGAAACUGUAGCUUUCUGAAUUGGAAACUGUAUCCUUUUAAAGGGUUUGACCAAAACUGUACCGUUGCAUAAUAAAGGUGGAUUCAAAUUGCGAAGGAGAAUAAUAGCUGAACCAAUAUGUAAUCGAAGGUUAUGUGGGGGCAUUCCAGUAUCGAUUGAUUUAAAAAACAUCAGAUCAUCUGGUAACUUGGUCAACAUCAACAUUUUUGGCUGCCCAAAUAGCCCUAUGACUGACCCACUUAUGAUUCAUUAUUUCAGAUGACCAGUUUUUUACCUAACCCAUUUUAGCCUAACGACAAAGAGUUAUUAGUGUGGUUCGCAUGCCAGGUUUUUUUAGCUUUCCUAAAUUUUCAAUCUUAACCAACUUUUCUUAGAAGAACAACGUCUGCCCAGGCAGCUAGUCCAAUAUGCUCACUUAAUGCGAACAAAAGCAAUAUCUCAAAGCCAAAGACGACACCAUUUCUAAUGUUUUUCGACGACACUACACUCUAUUGUAUUUUAUUAACCCUGCCCUUUUGUAGCGGAACAAAUUUGGCGAUUUGUCCUUCUUCAUUUCUUAACAAUUAUUUUAUUGUCUUCAUAAUUUUUGGCAUAAAAGGCUUCUGUAUAUACAAAACAAAGUAUACUAACAUUUUGUUUUUGUUGUUAACUGGUUCAAUGUCACAACAUAAUUUAAUUAGUUUGCAGUUUAAAAUUUAAAUAUAUACAAAUUUAAAAACAAAAUAAAUAAAAGGUUGAGAU
Eupeodes corollae is the source of this 2461-nucleotide long non-coding RNA. RefSeq lists it as uncharacterized. The transcript is spliced from 4 exons. The record is from RefSeq and is a predicted model, not a curated record. Lineage: Eukaryota; Metazoa; Arthropoda; Insecta; Diptera; Syrphidae.